CAGGGAAGUGUGACCUUUGAGGAUGUGGCCCUGUAUUUCUCCUGGGAGGAAUGGGCUCUCCUUGAUGAGGCUCAGAGAUGCCUGUACCACGAUGUGAUGCUGGAGAAUUUUGCACUUACAUCUUCAUUGGUAUACGGGCCUCUCACUGUUGUGGCCUCUCCCAUUGUGGAGCACAGGCUCCGGAUGCGCAGGCUCAGCGGCCAUGGCUCAUGGGCCCAGCCACUCUGCGGCAUGUGGGAUCUUUCCAGACCGUGGUAUGAACCUGUGUCUCCUGCAUCAGCAGAUGGACUCCCAACCACUGCACCACCAGGGAAGCCCUAUUCAUAUAUUCUUAAAUCUUGACUUUGAAUAAUAUACUGAAGUCCUGGUUUGUAGUAUUUUCCAGUUCGCCUGAUACAAAUACUUCCACCACGGACAAUUUCAAACUAGGAAACCAACGAAACAAUGAUUGUUAAUCAGCAAGAACUUGCCCACCCUUCUUUGGGACCCACACUUGACCAACCUAACUUAAAAGCUGAGUCUUAAUGCAGGCAGACAUCUCCAAUGAAGACUGUAAAAUGGCACUAUGAAAUCAUUAUGAUUUUAAUUGCAUUUCUCUCAGGAUACUUUUUCUUUUAAAAUUAAUUAAUUAAUUUUUUGGCUGCGUUGGUCUUCCAUUGCUGUGCCCGGGCUUUCUCUAGUUGCGGCGAGCAGGGUCUACUCUUUGUUGUAGUGUGCGGGCUUAUUAUUGUGGUGGCUUCUCUUGUUGUGGAGUGCGGGCUAUAGGCAUGUGGGCUUCAGUAGUUGUGGCACGCAGGCUGUAGGGUGCAGGCUCAGUAGUUGUGGUGCACAGGUUUAGUUGCUCUGCUGCAUGUGGGAUCUUCCCAGACCAGGGCUCGGACCCGUGUCCCUGCAUUGGCAGGUGGAUUCUUAACCACUGCACCACCAGGGAAGCCCCAUCCCUCAGGAUUCUUGAUGUUGAAGUUUCUUUUUUUUUCUCAAAAAAUGCUCUUUAUUCAUUCACAUAUAUUAUUGCAUUUAAUGCUCACUUCAUACCCAUGAACGGAGGAAGCAGAAAGAUAAUUCCUUCACAGACGAAGAGUUUGAGAUCCAUAAUAAAGUCCUUCUUCCCAAUUAACAGCGAGUGAACAAAAGAUCAAAAACCACCUCUGCUUUCAGCUCUCCAACUUCACCCUUCUUUCUUGAAGACAAUGGAGUGUUCAGCCCUCAUUUUCACAUAUGUUUAUUGCUAUUAAAAAUAUUUUUAGCAAACAAAUUUGAAGUAUAACCAAAAAUCCAUACUUCAAAAUGUAUAGAAAUUAUAUUUACAUAUAAUUUUUCACAUUAACUCAUUCAAAGUGUAUCUAUUAUAUUACAGGUGUUGGUUGAAACAUCUAGGCAUCUUAGCAUUUUAUCUUCAUAUCAUGCAAACUAAGUCCUAACCAGGACUUAGUUGUGUCCUGUCUGGUUAAAUUUCUAUUCCUAUUUUUUGCCUACUUUUAUUUUGUGAGAUAUGGCUAUUUUCUCUUUUUUUGACAAAAGAGAGCAGGUAAACAACAAAGACAUCUGUUAGAUUUCACUCAUUCAUCAAUAAUGUGAGUGAUUUCUUUUCUGAAUGUAAUUGUAAUUUGGAAUAGUGAAAGAAUAUGUUCUCAACUUUUACUCAGUUUUAUACUAUGCAUAAUGUAAUGGCCACAUACAUUAUACAGGUUUAGGAAUAAUCUGCAUUAUUAAUAUAUGCUACCUUAGUGUUAAGUCCAGACAUUCAAUUACACAGUAAAUUAAUCUCUGGUUUGUAGUGUUUGCCAGUUUCCGUGUGUAAAUAUUCCAACCAUAGCCAAGGUCAAAUUGCCAACAUAAUUUCACUGAACAUUAAUUUGGGAAGCAUUGCCAGUAGCCCACUAUUGUAUUCUUUUCCCACCAUUACAGGUAUAGUAGCCGCAAUUUUAAGAAUGUAGCUAAUAAACCAUAGUAGAAUGAUUAUAAAGUGAUAGGUUUUGCAUCUUUGUUUUGAAAAUCAUUUACUGGAUGAAUAGUUGACUUAAAUUUUGCCUAUUUAAAAUGUAAAUUUUGACAUACUUGUGUACAGCCCUCCAACCAGUUUCCUCCUGCCAUUGUUAAUUCAUCCUCAACAUUAAAAUGACUGAUGCAAGAGCAUACUCUACUUUUGUAAUAGCUAUUUUCAAAUGUAUAUAUAAAUGGAAUGACUGUGUUUGCCUCUUCCUGUAUCUUACAUCAUUUAUCGUGUUUAUGCACAUUUUUUUGUGUUUCAUGAUUUACUUAAUAGUUUCUAACAUUUAUAAUCCUAGGUAUCAUGUCUUUGAAUGCAUAAUUUCUUAGAAUGCAUUUCUAAAAUAAGAGAGCCCUGGGACUACCCUGGUGUCACAGUGGUUAAGAAUCCACCUGGGCUUCCCUGGUGGCGCAGUAGUUGAGAGUCCACCUGCCAAUGCAGGGGACACACGUUCGUGCCCUGGGCCGGGAAGAUUCCACAUGCCAUGGAGCGGCUGGGCCCGUGAGCCAUGGCUGCUGAGCCUGCGCGUCCGGAGCCUGUGCUCCGCAACAGGAGAGGCCAGAACAGUGAGAGGUCCGCGUACCGAAAAAAACAAAACAAAACAAAACAAAACAAAAAUGUCUACCAAGGACUUCCCUGUUGGUGUAGUGGUCAAGAGUCCACCUGCCAAUGCAGGGAACACGGGUUCAAGCCCUGGUCUGGGAACAUCCCACAUGUCGCGGAGCAACAAAUCCUGUGUGCCACAACUACUGAGCCUGCGCUCUAGAGCCCACGAGCCACAACUACUGGAGCCCGUGUGCCUAGAGCCCAUGCUCCACAACAAGAGAAGCUAUGGCAAUUAGAAACCUGCACACCUCAAUGAAGAGAAACCACUACAGUGAGAAGCCUGCACACCUCAAUGAAGAAUUGCCCCCACUUGCCGCAACUAGAGAAAGCCCAUGCACAGUAACGAAGACCCAACACAGCCAAAAAUAAAUAAAUUAAAUAACAAACAGAGACUGGAACUUCCCUGGUGGUCCAGUGGUUAAGACUCCAAUGCAGGGUGCACUGGUUCGAUCUCUGGUCAGGGGACUAAGAUCCUACAUGCUGUGUGGCAAGGCCAAAAAGAAAAAAAAAAGAAAAACAAACUGAGACCAUGAGACCACCUUACACUCAUUUGGAUGGCUAAUAUGUGAUAUAUAUAUUUGUUGUGAAAAAUGUAAGUUUUUAAUCUAAUGUAUUUUUUAAUUGAGCAUUUAUUUUAAAAAAACUGUAGAAUUGCUAAUGUUGCACAUCUGGUUAUACCUCAUAAUGACCUUGUCAGUAUUCUUUGGACAAAAUUAGAAUUUUGGACUGGAUUUAUAAUAUAUGUCAGUACCAACCAUUACAUAUGUUUAUUGUUUCUCCUCCCACCAUAUGUCUCCUCUAUUUCUGCAUUCCAAACAUGGUGGAUAUCUUCAGAUCUCUGAUAACUCUGUGAAGUUAUGUGUGGGGCUCUAGAGGUGUUUUUCGUCUACCUGGAACUCCUGGAUCUGAAUAUGCUUUAAAAAUUUGUUUUUAAAGUAACCAUAUAAGAUACAAGUACAUAAAGACACAAACUUUUAUGUCUAAAUUUCCUGUUUCUUUCCAUAGUACUUACUUAAUUAAAACUUUCUGAAGAGUUGCUACUAGGUAGUAAAGUAUAAGUAGAUUAAGUAAAUUCUGUAUAACUAGAUAAAAUUUUCAUUUUCUGCAUAUUCUAUUAACUCUAGAAAUGCAAGAAUUUAUCUGUUCUUAUUCAGCAAUAUAUCCCAAUUAAUGAAUGAAAAUUGAAAGCCCCUUAGCCAAUCACCUUUUCAUUGUAUUAUUAUUUGUACCUGACCAUCACCUAAGUUAAAAAAUAAAAUUAGGGACUUCCCUGUUGGUGCAGUGAUUAAGAAUCUGCUUGCCAAUGCAGGGGACACGGGUUCCAGCCCUGGUCCAGGAAGAUCCCACAUGCUGCGGAGCAAUUAAGCCCAUGCACCACAACUACUGAGCCUGUGCUCUAUAACCCACGAGCCACAACUACUGAGCCUGCGUACCACAACUACUGAGUCCCAUGCGUCUAGAGCCUGUUCUCUGCAACAAGAGAAGCCACCGCAAUGAGAAGCCCGAGCACCACGAUGAAGAGUAGCCGCCACUCGCCACAACUAGAGAAAGCCUGUGCACAGCAACGAAGACCCAAUGCAGAGAAAAAUAAAUAAAAAAUAAAAAAUAAAUAAAUUUAAAACAAAUUGAGGUCCAGAGCUCUCACGUGGCUGAACUAGGAAGGAGUAGAUCCCAAAAUUUCCCUUAAAAAAAUUAAUUGAUUCACUGCAGAAAUAAGAAGACAAAUGUUUAACAAUAUUAGGAAAAUAAUUUUUUUGGAGCAGAAAUCAUAGAAAAAUCACUGCUGAUGAGAACAAAGGGGCUGAAAGUUGGGAAAUCCGGAACUAGUAGCAGAGAUGUUUCCAUCAGCCACUGGUCUGGAUUUACAAUUAUAGUAACACAAAGACUCAAAAUGGAAGAGAGGCAGUAAAAAGAGAUGAAGAAACUCACCAGGAUAAGGAUGGUGCAUGUGGCUUUGGCCACGUGGGGAGGUCUGGGGUAAAGUCUGUUGCUGUGGAUGUAUUGGGCUCGCUGCUUGUAUCUGUGCAGGACAAAUAUCAUGCACCCACUAGUCCAGAUCUUGAAGCCCAAAUAACAUCCAGGGGAUAAAAUAUAAAUGCAUGUAAUAAGCCGAGAUUUCUGUCUGACGUGGCUGAGAAACCGUGUGUAAAAUUUUUUUUCACACAUUUGUGCUGUUUCUAGGACCAAUCACAUUCAUAGGAAUAUAGACAUUUACCAACAGCUGAAGGAACCAGAAAAGGAAAGUAAAGAAGCCAAUGCAUUUGGGGAGAUUGAAUUCUGAAGUCUAUCCACUAAGAGGUUCUGGGGCAAAACUUAAUGGCCAGGAAGCCACUCAGAAGGCAGGUAGUGCCGAGAGAAACCCCCGUGGCCACUCUGUAAAUACAAGACAAAUGUAUACCCAAGAUCAUAGAGGAAGUGUUUCAAUCCAAAAGCUGUCAUUGUCUGUGGGAUCCCUCUGGAGCUAAGAGCCAAGUUGUUGGGGAGGCUAAUAAAAUAGUCUUGUUCAGGCUUCAGAGACAACAAUAGGCUUUUGACUAAACAGACUCUGAAAGAGCUACACAUCAAGCUGCUAGACUACAUGCAGGUCAGCAGAAAUGGUGCUAGUCAGUCUUGGGAUCCAACAGAUAAAGAAGGGAGUAAGUCACAAAGCUUCCUGGGACUUGGGAAUCUGGCCAGUUCCUGGAAUUCAGCGAACAUUCUGAGACUUACAACUAAAGUAUCAAAAUAUUUGCGUUAAUAGUCAGAGCUGCGUACUUGCACGCAAGCUGAUGACUAUCAGCUUGCGGCUUGGCGUUAAAAGCAGGACUCCUUUGGGCAGCACUCUGAAGUCCCACCCGUGAGGUGGACUCACCGCCCGGGACCUUCCCAACUGGGACUCCAGAUUGCUGUUCAAGGGAAUUCCUAGAUGCCACUUGGAUCUGGAAGUUGGUGUCGGCCCAAUUCGGUGAUGUAUGCUCUGUUAUAUACCCUGUUAAUAUUAUUGCUCUCCCUCUAAUGAUUGUAUAUUGAAAUUUAUAUAGUCUGUUAAUAUUCUUAUUGCUUUCUCUCUAAUGAUUGUAUAUUGAAGUUAAGUUAAAUCACUUUCUAUUAAAGAUUUGAUUGAAGCUGUU
This is an RNA transcript of Orcinus orca (killer whale), 5706 nucleotides long. It is a transcript of the gene named zinc finger protein 211-like, with no coding region annotated. The transcript is spliced from 3 exons. The record is from RefSeq and is a predicted model, not a curated record. Lineage: Eukaryota; Metazoa; Chordata; Mammalia; Artiodactyla; Delphinidae.